GUGCUCGCUUCAGCAGCACAUAUACUAAAACUGGAACAAUACAGAGAAGAUUAGCAUGGCCCCUGUGCAAGGAUGACACGCAAAUUCAUGAACUGUUCCAUAUUUUU
This 107-nucleotide small nuclear RNA is filed under the name Ovis aries (sheep). The record is from RNAcentral. Lineage: Eukaryota; Metazoa; Chordata; Mammalia; Artiodactyla; Bovidae.